Molecule: small RNA, 1930 nt
Filed under: Drosophila pseudoobscura pseudoobscura
Lineage: Eukaryota; Metazoa; Arthropoda; Insecta; Diptera; Drosophilidae
Description: GA30916
Source: RNAcentral
GAAGCGACGCGUGUGAAAACUCUGCUGAACUAUGCACCCAAUCUAACUCAAGAGUCAAUAGUUGCUUCUCUUUCGCUGUCGCGAUCCUGUCAUCCUCACUCUCUGUUCAAGUGCGACUUCUAACCAACAAUAUGACCAAAGCCAAGUAGCAGCAGGGGUGCAGCAGAAGAACAAGCUUUAGUAGCUUGCUGAUGCAAAGGCAAGGAAAUGUCAACGACAAUGAGAAUUAAACAUAUUGAUCCCACCACUAUGCUGAAGCGGAGGCAUCGAGAUUUAUCUGAAAAAUUCUUAUCACAUGUCACAAUUUAGUUCCAGUCGAGGAGUCGAACAAGCAUGUCGAGAGAAAAAAAAAAACAAAGCCAAGAGGGAUCAGCUGUUAUUUUUCCCAAUGCGGUUGCUCCGACUCCAAAAUUAAUGACACAAAAUGAAAUGUGGAAAGUGAUGCUGUCAACAACACUUGUUGGAUUGGAUUGGAUUGGAUUGGAUUGAAGACACAAGCCACUGAGAGGACGGGUCGAGGGAAGGCCGUCUGCACCAUCAAUCUGCUAUCUGAGAUGGAGAUGCCAUUCGCAGUGAAAUUGAACAAGCGGCAGUACGACACGGGCACUGGCGAAAUGUCUGGCGUUAAUACGGCUAUUGCUUUGCUCGAUGCUGUUGCUGAAGCUCCCCUUUUCCUUUUCCGGGCGAGUGGCUAAUUGCCCAGUGAAGUGGCAGCUCCGGCUACAACAAAGCCAAACCGAGUUGUGCUCAGUUGGGCCCCUGAUGAUGACGACGACCAUCCACCGCAGCCGCGGCUAAAUUCUCAUUGUAAUUGUCAUCAUCGCAUUGAGUCUUCAUCUUUCACUGGGGGCGCAUCGUAUUGUUACUUAAAUGAUUUCUGUGUUGUUCAUUAUUGCAUCCGCAGUAAAAAUAAUGAAACAACGCAUUUGUUCAUUUCAGCUCACAGAACAAUUUAUAAAAUCCAAGUACAACAGGAGUGGGCGUGGACCUUAUAAUAUGAUAGUUCUUUUUUCAGAUUUCCCGUGGCAGUCAAAGUUAAGGUUCCUCUCCGUCAGAUCUUUACCCGCCUGUCGGAUUGAUGCACAAUUGGUGCUUGUCUGGUCCACCACUUGGUAAUUGGCAGCCAGGCGACCAGACCACCGAUCGAUAACAAUAAAAUUGUUAAAAGCGCAAAAUGCCGCAAAGAGUGUAAUUUGUCGAGCACAUGAACAGGGAGAGGAACGACCCAGGUCCAAAAACCAGGCGUAUUUGAAUUCAUCAAUGGCGUGUUUAAGCAGUUUGUCAGCGACACGUGGCAGAGCGGCUGUUGGCCUUUCGAGUUUGCUGGCAACAGCAGGCGGUGACGGUGACGUUGGCUGUGCUAAAGGAACGAUUACAAACGAGGAAGAGGAUAAGAACGAGGGCCGGGCCGUGUGUCGAUGCUGAUGAUGAUGUAAAACGUCAGUACUAUUCAAAAACAGCCACCACCACAACCCCACCCUCACGACUCACAGCUGGAUACGAGGUGCAGUAAAUAGAGAUUUAAACGCCCAUACUGGCUGGCUGGCCACUUUGCCGCUUGGCGUUGUCAACGCAACGCCACGCCACGGAGCGACAAUGGCUCAGUUGUAAUACCCAUUCGUUCCCACUCAUUGUUAUAAACUAAAUUGCUAAAAUUCGUAUACCGUACAGCACGGCUUGUAAAAAUCAAACGACGCCUUAACUUAAGGGUAUGCUUCUUUGAUUCGUCCUUUGGGAAUCGUCAUUUUUUUCCUCUCACAUUAGUACAUAGUUAACCCUUUAACAUCAAAAACUUACUGAAUCAAUAUUUUUCUUCAAAUUAUCACUUUCUUACUUGCGGUACCCUGAUUGUCGGCGCGGUACAGUUCUAAAUAAGAUAUUUUUAUACAGGGUAUAUUAUAUGUUUUUAAACACUUCAUCUUAGAGAAUU